Molecule: long non-coding RNA, 797 nt
Organism: Grammomys surdaster
Lineage: Eukaryota; Metazoa; Chordata; Mammalia; Rodentia; Muridae
Exons: 2
Source: RefSeq, a predicted model, not a curated record
GCCACAAUGCUCCCAGCCAUGAUGACAUUGGACUAAACCUCUGAAACUCGGAGCAGGCCUUUAUCCACAAAGCCACUGCCUAAUCUCCCUCAGAAGAACUCUCUGCAUGGAGACCACCAACCCAGCUACCCAAGCCAAGCGAGCAGCCUCUACACAGUCAAGUGAGACUCUCAUCCCUGUGGGAAGCAGCCAGAGCUCAUCUCUCCCCAUCUCCCCUUCUGCUGUGGGCAAAUCCAACCCAUACACCCCCACUUCGUUCUUGGCCCUUCUGCAUCCCCCCAGCAGUGUUCGAGAACCAGCCUGAGAACUAGCCAGUUCCUGGCUACCUUUUGGCCUGAGGACCCCCAAGCCAAGAGCUCUAGCUCCCCAUGGGACCUCAGACUGCACUCCCCAACCCUGAGGUGUCGGGAGAGCACAGUCAACUUCCCAUGCCUCUGUCCCCUCAAGAGGCCUUAGCCCUGUGGCAAGACAGACAGGGGACCCACACAUCAACCCAACAUAUGCAGUCUUGCCUUUCUGCUUUCCACCAUGAACUGUAUGAGGCCUCAACCCUAUGCUGCUUCUUGAACAGUGAGCCUUACAGUUUGCCUGGUCUCCAAUAUUCCACCAUCCUAUGACGAACUGACCAAGUUUACUGCCUCAGUUUAUAUUCACCAGGACCAAGAACUUGUACCUCCAAGCGCUAAGUGGCUGAUUUGCUGAUGCUCAGAGGUAACUCAGGCCUUAGACCAUAAUACGUGUUCAAAUCAUGGCUGGAGUUCCCAUCUUGCUGUGAAACAAGACUGCUCUCAAAUAUA